UUCCAAUCGAGCCCGGAGAUAGCUGGUUCUCCCCGAAAUAGCUUUAGGGCUAGCCUCAAGGUGAGAGAUACGGAGGUAGAGCACUGAAUGUCCUAGGGGGGAUUGCACCUACCGAAGACUAUCAAACUCCGAAUGCCGUCAUCUUAUACUUGGGAGUCAGACUGUGGGGGAUAAGAUUCAUAGUCGAAAGGGCAACAGCCCAGAUCGUCAGCUAAGGUCCCUAAAUGUAAGUUAAGUGGUAAAGGAUGUGGGAUUGC
Molecule: ribosomal RNA, 257 nt
Filed under: Clostridioides difficile
Lineage: Bacteria; Bacillati; Bacillota; Clostridia; Peptostreptococcales; Peptostreptococcaceae
Description: partial 23S ribosomal RNA
Rfam family: Bacterial large subunit ribosomal RNA
Source: RNAcentral